UCCCGUUGAUCCUGCGGGAGGUUGCUGCUAUCAGGAUUCGACUAAGCCAUGCAAGUCAUAGGGUUCUUCGGAACACUGGCAGACUGCUCAGUAACACGUCAAUAAUCUGCCCUUGGGUCUGGUAUAACCUCGGGAAACUGAGGCUAAGCCCGGAUAGGAAAUGCAAUCUGGAAUGAUGCUUCUCCAAAAGGCAACGCCCAAGGAUGAGUUGGCGGCCGAUUAGGCUGUUGGUGGGGUAAAGGCCCACCAAACCAAAGAUCGGUAGGGGCCUUGAGAGAGGUAGCCCCGAGAAGGGCACUGAGACACCGGCCCUAGCCCUACGGGGUGCAGCAGGCGCGAAACCUUUACAAUGCACGAAAGUGUGAUAAGGGGAUCCUGAGUGCUUAUACUUUGUAUAGGCUUUUUGCCAAGAGUAGAUACCUUGGCGAAUAAGUGGUGGGUAAGACUGGUGCCAGCCGCCGCGGUAACACCAGCGCCACGAGUAGCAACCGCUUUUAUUGGGCCUAAAGCGUUCGUAGCCGGUCUGAUAAAUUCUUUGUGAAAUUGUGGGGCUCAACCUCACAAUGUGCAGGGAACACUGUCAGACUAGGGACCGGGAGGGGUUAGGAGUAUUCUUGGGGGAGCGGUAAAAUGCUAUAAUCCCUUGAAGACUAUCUGUGGCGAAGGCGCCUAACCAGAACGGAUCCGACGGUCAGGAACGAAAGCUGGGGGAGCAAUCCGGAUUAGAUACCCGAGUAGUCCCAGCCGUAAACGCUGCGAGCUAGGUGUUGCAUAUUCUCCGAGAAUGUGCAGUGUCGAAGCGAAGGCGAUAAGCUCGCCGCCUGGGAAGUACGGUCGCAAGACUGAAACUUAAAGGAAUUGGCGGGGGAGCACUACAAGGGGUGCGGCGUGCGGUUUAAUCUAACUCCACACAGAGAAUCUCACCAGAGGCGACGGCAGGAUGAAGGUCAGUCUAACGGGCUUACUAGACGAGCCGAGAGGUAGUGCAUGGCCGCCGUCAGCUCGUGCCGUAAGGUAUCCUGUUAAGUCAGGCAACGAGCGAGACCUGCGCUCACAAUUGCUAGCGGCCACUUCGGUGGGACCGAGCACAUUAUGGGAACUGCCCUCGAAAGGGGGAGGAAGGUGCAGGCUACGGUAGGUCUGUAUGCUCCGAAUCCUCUGGGCUACACGCGCGCAACAAUGGUAGGGACAAUGGGAUACGACUCCGAAAGGAGAAGUUAAACCUCUAAACCCUAUCCAAGUUCAGAUUGAGGGCUGUAACUCGCCCUCAUGACGCUGGAAUCCCUAGUAAUCGGAUGUCAACAUCGUCCGGUGAAUAUGUCCCUGCUCCUUGCACACACCGCCCGUCAAACCAACCGAGCAGGGUUUAGGUGAGGCCUAGCCUUUUAGCUAUGUCGAAUCUAAGCUCAGUGAGGUGGGUUAAGUCGUCACAAGGUA
This 1437-nucleotide ribosomal RNA is filed under the name metagenome. RNAcentral describes it as "bacterial SSU rRNA". It matches the Rfam family "Archaeal small subunit ribosomal RNA". The record is from RNAcentral.